RNAcentral lists this ribosomal RNA (1422 nucleotides) under metagenome. Its description in RNAcentral is "bacterial LSU rRNA". It matches the Rfam family "Bacterial large subunit ribosomal RNA", at positions 1516 to 2912 of the family's 2925-position model. The record is from RNAcentral.
UUAUGUAGGCAUGUAUCUUAGGCAAAUCCGGGGUACUCUAUGCUGAGAUCUGAUAGCAAGCUGUACUUGUACAGCGAAGUGGUUGAUGCCAUGCUUCCAGGAAAAGUCUCUAAGCUUCAGUUACACAGGAAUCGUACCCGAAACCGACACAGGUGGUCAGGUCGAGUAGACCAAGGCGCUUGAGAGAACUCUGCUGAAGGAACUAGGCAAAAUGGUACCGUAACUUCGGGAGAAGGUACGCUGUUGUUGGCGAUGGAACUCGCUUCCUGAGCUGACGACAGCCGCAGAAACCAGGCCGCUGCAACUGUUUAUUAAAAACAUAGCACUCUGCAAACACGAAAGUGGACGUAUAGGGUGUGAUGCCUGCCCGGUGCUGGAAGGUUAAUUGAUGGGGUUAGCGUAAGCGAAGCUCUUGAUCGAAGCCCCAGUAAACGGCGGCCGUAACGAUAACGGUCCUAAGGUAGCGAAAUUCCUUGUCGGGUAAGAUCCGACCUGCACGAAUGGCAUAAUGAUGGCGGCGCUGUCUCCAGCAGAGGCUCAGUGAAAUCGAAAUCGCUGUGAAGAUGCAGUGUACCCGCGGCUAGACGGAAAGACCCCGUGAACCUUUACUGCAGCUUGACACUGAACUUUGACCUUACUUGUGUAGGAUAGGUGGGAGGCUUUGAAGCUGGAACGCUAGUUCCAGUGGAGCCGUCCUUGAAAUACCACCCUGGUAAUGUUGAGGUUCUAACUCUGUCCCGUGAUCCGGGACGAGGACCGUGUCUGGUGGGUAGUUUGACUGGGGCGGUCUCCUCCUAAAGAGUAACGGAGGAGUACGAAGGUGCGCUCAGCGUGGUCGGAAAUCACGCGUAGAGUAUAAAGGCAAAAGCGCGCUUAACUGCGAGACCCACAAGUCGAGCAGGUACGAAAGUAGGUCUUAGUGAUCCGGUGGUUCUGUAUGGAAGGGCCAUCGCUCAACGGAUAAAAGGUACUCUGGGGAUAACAGGCUGAUACCGCCCAAGAGUUCAUAUCGACGGCGGUGUUUGGCACCUCGAUGUCGGCUCAUCUCAUCCUGGGGCUGAAGCAGGUCCCAAGGGUAUGGCUGUUCGCCAUUUAAAGAGGUACGCGAGCUGGGUUUAGAACGUCGUGAGACAGUUCGGUCCCUAUCUACCGUGGGCGCUGGAAAUUUGAGAGGAUCUGCUCCUAGUACGAGAGGACCAGAGUGGACGAACCUCUGGUGUACCGGUUGUGACGCCAGUCGCAUCGCCGGGUAGCUAUGUUCGGAAGGGAUAACCACUGAAAGCAUCUAAGCGGGAAGCCUACCUCAAGAUAAGAUUUCCCUAGGACUUUAUGUCCUCUAAAGAGCCGUUCGAGACUAGGACGUUGAUAGGUUGGAUGUGGAAGCAUAGUGAUAUGUGAAGCUGACCAAUACUAAUUGCUCGU